GGUGUAUGCAUUUUCCUUUAUAACUCUUAUCUUAUUUUGCCACAAGUAUUGUAGUUCAAAAAUGAAACAAACAAAAAAAUAAGAAGAGAAAGACAUAAAAAAUUAAAUUAAAUUACUGUUUUGGCUUAUGACUAAAAUAUGUAUUUCUGGUGUGACAGAGAAGGAAGAGCAUGUUGGCAGACAUGUAUGGGAUUAUUUAAAUGUGCAGCGUGUUUUAGUUUGACAGAAUUUACCUCAGUUUGUAUUCUCAGCUGGGUGAGUUUUUAUAUCAAUUAUUAUAAAAAUUUUGAUUUCAAAUGUAAGGGAUCAGAAAAGUAGGUGUUCUGUUAUUAAAAUAACCAUUUAUGGUGCUGACAUUCAGUUUUCCCUAGCCAUUCCUAAAUAUAAAUUUGUCCUUGUAAUAAUUUUCAUGCCUCACUGAUUGAAUAUAUACCCAAGUAAAAUAACAAAAUUGCUACAAUAAAUCACUGCAAAAGCAGAUAGAAAGUUUCAAAGGGAAAAAAGAAUCUACGCAUACAAUUUGAUUUACAGCACUAUGAGUAAUAGAUCAACUGCAUUGGUCUAUAUAAUCAUUGUCUGAUUGCAAUGGUGCACUUAUAAUACUCUUAAGGAGGCUCGAGGGUAUAAAAAUUUCAGAAAAAAUUAAACAAUUGUUUUUCAUUACAAAUUUUAUUUAUUACCUUUUGUAGUUGUUACUUUAUCAUAUGGUACAAAAAACAUUCAAAACAAUUAAUUCGUGUUGGCCCCAGAUGACUUUUAAAAUGUAAACAUCAUUGAAAAAGUUCCAAAUUAUCUCCCUUUGGAGGAAAAAUGCCAUUUUUUGGCUUUAAAAUUUAAAUAUCUCUUUUAACUCAUCUGUGACCUAUAUUUUUUAAUAUAAUUUCGAUAUAUGCUGUACUUAAACUAAAUUAUUGUAAAAUUUGAGCGAUUUCUGUAAUAAAUUUCUUUUUUUAUUUCGAUAUUACCUUUAUUUCUCCUAUUAGGUCAACAGAAAAAUUUUUUUUUUUACAAAGAUGUAUGCUUCUUUCGAAGGCAGAUUGUGAGCGCAAAUGAACGGUGACCCCAUUUUUUUAUUUUAUUUUUCUAUUAACUAUAAGAUAAAGUUCAUUUAUAGAAAAAUAUAGAGAAAUCCUAUAUAAAUGAUUUAGACCCGCGAACCCCCUUAACGAUAUUUUUUUAUUAUAACUGAAGUCUGGAGUUUCAGUCAAAGGCCUUUGACUUAAUUCAGUGUUCGUAAUUUAUUAUCCAAGUCUUAUGGUCACAAAGUAUAAGAACAUUAGAACCAAACUCAGAUUCA
This 1297-nucleotide long non-coding RNA is filed under the name Mytilus galloprovincialis (Mediterranean mussel). Lineage: Eukaryota; Metazoa; Mollusca; Bivalvia; Mytilida; Mytilidae. The record is from RNAcentral.